Molecule: ribosomal RNA, 251 nt
Filed under: uncultured prokaryote
Description: partial 16S rRNA
Rfam family: Bacterial small subunit ribosomal RNA
Source: RNAcentral
ACGGAGGGUGCAAGCGUUAUCCGGAUUUAUUGGGUUUAAAGGGUGCGUAGGCGGCCUUUUAAGUCAGUGGUGAAAACCUGCGGCUCAACCGUAGGCGUGCCAUUGAAACUGAAGGGCUUGAGUUAUCAUGAGGCAGGCGGAAUGUGUAGUGUAGCGGUGAAAUGCUUAGAUAUUACACAGAACACCGAUUGCGUAGGCAGCUUGCUAAAGGUACACUGACGCUGAUGCACGAAAGCGUGGGGAUCGAACAG